This 7616-nucleotide long non-coding RNA is filed under the name Gossypium barbadense (sea-island cotton). RNAcentral describes it as "long non-coding RNA (GBAR_LNC006179)". Lineage: Eukaryota; Viridiplantae; Streptophyta; Magnoliopsida; Malvales; Malvaceae. The record is from RNAcentral.
GAAGAUCAAACGUCUAAAAACAAAAAGUUCUCUUCUCAUAUUCCUGUAGUCUUUCUGUUGUCCUUCAUCACCAUCCUCAAUCAACCUCCGCCUACUGUAAUAUCUGAACCAUCAUUUCUCUGGGCAAGGUGAGUAUUGUUCUCCAUUUUAAUCCUAUUGCUGCCAAUAUAUGCACAUGCUCAUUUACUGUCCGUCUUACAUGUUGAAAUUUGCUUUCAUGAAAACCCUUAAUCAGUUCCUUAAUGUCUUGAAUAUAUGGUCCUAUUACCGAUUUAUCUCCACUUUUUCCUUUGACUCGCUUGAUAACCGUCAGAGAGUCUCAUUCAAUUUCAACAUAAUUUAAUCCCAGACCCUUUCCUAUUUUCACUGCCUGUAGACAUGCAAUGGCUUCGGCUGCAAAUCCCGAAGGAACAUUCUCAUGUAUUGUGGUUUUCGAAGCCAAGACAUCCCUAUUACAGUCUCGGACGAUGACUCCUGAGUAGGAUCUAUAUUUUUUUUUAUAUCCACUGCAGCAUCGAAAUUAAUUUUGCAGAACCCUUGCUCCAGAGGUCUCCAGAGUUCGGUAGGCGGUCUUAAGGUAGGGGAUAUUUGCUUGAUAUUAUUUAGCCCUUGGAAAUACUGUAAAAUAAAUAUUUCUAUUUCUGCUCCAGAUCUCCUUCGACCUUCAUGGAUACACUGAUUCCUAGCAGACCAGAUAGCCCAAAUGGCGCAAACAUAGGCUCGACAGACAUCUUUCUCACUAUUCAGCAUAAUCCAGGUAAACCAAUCCAAGAACUCCAACUGAGAUAACUCCUGGGGCCAGGCGUAAUUUAAUUUAUCCCAUGUCUUUUUUGUAACAGCGUAGUCACAAAAGAUAUGCUCCUUAUUUUCUAGUCCUUGCAUGACCGCCUUGUUUGUUAAUCGUUUAAUUCUGAGAUUUACUAGAGUAGGCAAAUAGUUCAAAGUGGCUCUCCAAACUGUAAUAAGUAAUUUUGAAGGGAAGUUACUAUUCCAUAGCUUUUUGUAACAUUUUCUGAUUUCGAUCGGGCUGUAUCUAUUAUCAUUAAGCAAAUUACCAUGUAAUAGGAUUUUGUACCCUCUCCUUACUGUAUACUCACCUGUUGACUCCCCCCUCCAAGCCAGAAAGUCAUCAUGGGGAUUCUUAAUCAGCUGAAUUUGGAGAAUUUUUUGGGCAUCACCAGUUGAGAAGGUAUGUUCGAUCAAUUAUGUUUUCCAAGAUCUAGUGUUGUUGUCGAUCAGAUUUCCUACCCUCGUUAUGUUCUGGUUUCUCGCCAAUUAUUGAAUGUGUGAAUUUUCAGCAUUUGAAACCCAAACAUCCUCUUCAAUUCUAACGUCACGUCCAUUGCCAAUUCUCCAACAAAGACCUGUUAACAAGAGACCUUUUGCAGCCCACAUACUUUUCCAAGUAUAUGAUGGUAAGUUUCCUAGAUCUGAAUUUAAGAAAUUAGUGUUCGGGUAGGAUUUUGCUUUUAAAGUUUGUGCUAGAAGAGAAUUCAGAUUUUCAAUUAGUUUCCAACCUUGCUUUGCAAGAAAGGCAAGGUUGAAUUUUGCUAAGUUGUGAUAUCCAAGACCGUCAUUCUCCUUCAAUUCACAUAAAUUACUCGAUGAACACCAAUGUAUCUCACGUCUCCCAUGCCUUUUUUGCCACCAGAAUUUUGCUAUUGUUUGUUCCAUUUCUUCACAUAAAAAUUUUGGUAAAAGAAAACAUCCCAUCGUAUAAGUAGGAAUUGCUUGUAAAACAGUCUUUAUGAAGACUUCUUUCCCUCCCUGUAAUAACAAUCUUGUACUCCAGGUAUCGAUUUUCAUCUUGAUGCGGUCUUUAAGUGUUGAAAAGCCUGACGUCUCUUUCUGCCCACCAUGUUUGAGAGACCCAAAUAUUUCUCAGAGUUGUUUGACCUUUUGACCCCCAAUCUAUUUGAAAUAUUUCAUUGGACCAUAUCAUUAGUGUUUGAGCUAAAGAACACAGUUGAUUUCCCAUAAUUCACGUAUUGCCCUGAACAACUUUCAUAUUCUUUUAACACUUUUUUGAAAAUUUCUGUACCUUUUUCAGAGGCUUCCCCAAAUAGAAUACAAUCGUCAGCAAAAAGGAAAUGAGUAAUCUGAAGGCUUCUUCUACUUGUCUUAACUCCUCUCAAAAGCCCUUCCUCUCUUGCAAUUCUUAAUAAAGUAGAUAAACCCUCACUACAAAUGAGGAAUAAAAAGGGAUUCAAAUGAUCCCCUUGGCAUAAGCCUCUCUUUGGAAUAAAUUUUUUCUCUACCAUGCCUUUUAGAACAACCGAGUAUGAGAUUGUAUUUAUGUAGUUCUAAUAAGUCGAAUCCACCUUUUAUCAAAACCCAUUCUGGCCAUCAUUUGCUUCAAUAAUUCCCAUUCCACCCGAUCAUACGCCUUGCUCAUAUCAAUCUUAAGUGCCAUAAAUCCCUUUUUUCCCACCUUUUUCUUCCGCAUAGAAUUAAGAAUCUCAUAGGCGAGCAAGGCGUUAUCAGUGAUUAGUCUUUCCGGUACAAAGGCACUUUGAGCCGGAUCAAUGCAAUAAUCAAGAACUUUUUGAAAUCGAUUUGCAAUAGUUUUUGAGAUUAUUUUAUAAAAAACCGAGCAAAGACUAAUUGGUCUAAAUUUUGAUGGAUUUUUCAGGAGAGGUGUCUUUGGGAUUAAAACAAUAUUUGUAUGAUUUAAGACUUCUAAAGAUUGUCCUUUAUUAAGAACUACUAAGCAAAAAUCACUAACCUCUUUUCCCACCAUGUGCUAGAAUGUCUGAAAGAAAAUAGCUAGGAAACUGUCAGGGCCAUAAGAUUUUGUCAGGCCAAUACCAUUAAGUGCCUCAAUAAUUUCUUCUUCAUUAUAUUCUGUAGUUAACAUGUGGUUCAUUUCUUCACUAAUACUCCGAUCAACACCUGAAAAAGGGUGGCUAGUAUCGCCAAUCCCAUUAGAAUGAAAUAUCCUCACGAAGUAGUCUCGUAUAAUCUCUUCUACUUCUUCCUCUUCUGUUCUAAUUGUCUUCCAACCUUUGUAUUUUAUUUAUUCUAUGUCUCUAAGAUGCUAUGCUAUGGAAGAAAGCCGUAUUUUUAUCCCCUUGCCGCAACCAAUUUGCUCUAGCUCUUUGUUCUUUGUACAACUCCUCCUUCUCCAUCUCCCAAUUUAACUCUAAUUUCACAUCAACUAUCUCUGCCAAAAUAUUAUCAUCCCUAUCCAUUCCAUUGAGCUUGACUAGGCGUUCACGAAGAUUCUUUGACCUCUUUCUCCAAUUUGCCUUAAUGUUUUUUCCCAUGUCUGUAGACCAACCCGGGUGUGUUCCAAUUUUUCCAAGACAUUACCAGACUUCUCUGUCCAUACUUUCUUGAUAAAUCCCUCACAUGAAGGCUCAAUUAUCCACCAAGACUCAAAUUCAAAAAAAAUUAUUUCUAGAACGUUUCAUAUUUGGCACAGUCUGGAUGAGAAUUGGGCAAUGAUCAGAAAAAGAGUGGGGUAGAUUUUGUAUCGAGUAAUCACUAAAUAAAUUCAUCCAUUCCAGAUUUGCAACCCCCCUGUCGAGUCUCUCUUUUAUAUUUGUCUCUUCGAAAUUACCCCUUUCUCAUGUAAACUUUUGCCCACUGAAACCCAUAUCGGCUAGACCACAUUCUUUUAAAACUCCCCGAAAUUCCUCCAUUUGUCUUUCAUCCUUUACUCUCCCUCUAAUUUUUUCAUGUAUGUACAUAAUCUCGUUAAAAUCCUCGUAUACACACCAUGGCAAUGGACAGAUAUUUCUUAAUUAUCGAAGUAAGUUCCAAGACUCAUGUUUAUUUGAUUAAUGUGGAUUACCAUAGAACCCAGUGAACAGCCAUUUGUUUUGACUAUCUUCUUCGUUAAUUUCCACAUCAAUAUGAUAGGUUGAAUAGUUGUAAACUUGAAUUAAAUUAUUGCAUGCAUUAGGUCUUUCUUGUCGCACUCAGGAGGACAUGGACCUGCCUUUAUCCAGAACGGAGAGUAAAUAAGCUUGAUCUUAUUUCUUUCAAUAGGUUGAACCAACCUAUCAAAGAUGAUUAGUUGCUUUCGAAGGAGCCAUGGACGUUCCUCCAAAAUUUGUUUCAAAUCUUCCUCAUCUUUGAAAGAAAUCGUAAACAAAUUCUGACCUGCAAUAAAUAUAUCGAAUUUCUUUUUUGUCUUCCAAAUUCUCUUCAACUGUGCCCUCAAGCUAUCUGGAUUAUAUGUUUUCUUCGUUCAAACUGAACAUAGUAACAUCGGGUUCUUACAUGGAACCAUUAGAGAGCUUUUCACCGUUAGUUUGAUUAACUCUUUUUCGAAAAAGGCAAAUUCGUUUUGAUCCACCAUCGUUCCAAAGCCACCACUCAUCUUCUUCCCAACCACAGUAUUUACUAUUUCUUCGGGAGACCUAAGAGAGCACUCUUGACUCUAUUCGAUGGUGUCCUUGAACCACUCUAAUAUUCUAAAUAUUUAAAGGAAUUAUCAAAUGAAAUGUUGUAAUACCGGCUCAUAUUUGUAAAGUACAUGUAAAUAUUUGGAUUAUGUAUGUUAAGAGUUAGGUUGAUUUAUGUUUUUAAUUAUGUUCACACCAAUUUUUGCCCGGCCCAACAAUUAAAACCCAAGGCAACCCAUUAACCCCAAAAUAAACCCCAAUUAAACCUAGCCCACCAAGCCCACAACUUUUCAAUUCAGAAAAACAAAAGAAAACCUUAGGUGCGCCGCACCUAGGUCUGCCCUUAUCCCAUCCACCACCACUGGCGUGUCUGCCACCCCCACCUGUUCCACCACCACCGACUAGCCUGCAAAAAUAAAAUAAACACGCAAGCAAUAGAUUAAAAAGGCAUGGUGAAAGGGCUAUAAAAAGGGAAGAAAACCGAAUGUGAGGGGGUUCUUUUUUUUUGAAAAAAAAGAGAUUAUCAAUACAAACAGUAGGUGUUCAAAUACAAAAACAAAUCAAAAACAGAUAGCAGUUGAAGAAGAAAACGAUUCGUUGUCAAGGUUUCCUCUUUUAUUGUAUAUAUUUUCCUAUUUUCGAAUCUAUUUCCUCGCAUAUAUACGACUAUUACAAACAUAAAAAAAUAUAUAAAAAAAACCGUACCUUUUGGAGUUUCGGCCACCGCACGCGGUGGCUGGUGGCGACCCUACGGCAGUUUUUUCGCUGAAUUCUGGCUUUGGCCAAAGAGAAAUGAGAGACCCCCCCCCCUUUUCAGAAACAAGGGAAAAUGAAUUUUUUAUAAAAAAUUUUGCUUUUAUAACACUAAAGAAACGACGUCAUUUUCACUGGCCUCCCCAAACCCCAAAACGACGUCGUUUUGGGGAGGCCGACCCAAUCUGACCCGCCUUUGUUGAAGAUCUGCGUGUUUUUUACGGAAGGGCUAAUUUCACUUUUAGCCCUUCCGCUUUUUAUUACUUUGCAAUUAAGCUUUUUCUUUAUUUUAAUCUCACCUUAAACUUGUGCUUGGAGUUCAAUUGGGUCCCUCUUGGUGCUGUGCGUUUAGAGAGGAUGGAAUAUUGCCCAUUUUGGUCCUCCCUUGUUAUCCGCGCGCCUAAAUUGGUCCUUUUCUUUGUACUUUUAUUCCAAAUUCGCCCCGAACUCCUAUUUUAAGUUUAAUUUAGUCAUUUUAGUUAUUUUUGCUAUUUUACCAUUAUUAUUAUUAUUAUUAUUAUUUGUAUCCUUAUUAAUAUAUUAUUAUCAUUUCCUCCUAUUAUUAUUAACCUAUUAUUAUUCUUAUUAGUAUAUUAUUAUUUCCUAUUCUUUAUAUUAUUAUUAUUAUUAUUCAUGUAUAUAUUAUUAUUGUUAUUAUUGUUAUUAUUAAUAUUCUUAUCGUUACUAUUAUUUUUAUUCCUUUUAUUAGUUAUUAUCAAUAUAUUAUUAUUAUUACCACUGUAUUUUAUCAUUAUUAACAUUUUUUUAUUACUGUCACCAUUAUAUUUUUUUAUUUUUUUAUUAUUACUAAUUUUUUUAUGAUCAUUAUUACUAUAGUAUUAUUAUUACUACUAUAUUUUCAUCUACAUAGAUUUUCUUGUUACUUACCUAUUUAUAUUUCUAUAUAUUUAUAUUUUCGAUAUUAUUGUAUUUUAAGCAUUAUACCUAUAUUAUCAUUUCACUAUUGUUAUAUUUUUCAUAUUAUUAUUAUCACUACUAUUACUAUCAUUUUCUAAAUAGUUUUACAUAAUAUUUAUUUAUUACUAGUUCUUUUUAAUUUCAAAUAUUUUUUUAGCUUAUUUAUUAUUUCUUUUUUAUUUUAGCUUAUUCAUUUUACCCAUUUGUUUUAUCUUUUCUCCUAUCAUUAUUAUCUUUCACAUUCGUGUUUAUGUUUAUUAUGUUAUGCCUGUCAAUACCGAAUUUUUUAUUUGUUUAUGCAUUCUCUAUUAUCUCGUUUUAUUACGAAUUUAUGUUUUAUCCGACCCAAAAUUAAUUCUUUUAUAAAGGCAAUGAUUCGUAUUUGGAAUUUCGAGAAAAUCGUGUCCUAACUUAUUGGAUUUCGAUUUUUCUCAUUUAAUCUAAAUAACGGAAUAUUCUUUUAAAAUUGCAACACGAAUUUUGAAUAAAAUGCUUAUUCUCUGAGAUACGAGGUGUUGUGUCCUAACUUACUAGAUAUGACAUCUUGUUACCUCGAGAUAAGAUUUUUGCAAACAAAGGCAAUAUUCGGUAUUUGGAAGUUCGAGAUAUCGUGCCCUAACUUUCUGGGUUUCGAUUUUUCUCGUUUACUCUAAAUAAUCGAAUACCCUUUUAAAAAGUUAAAAUACUCGAAUUUUAAAUAAAAGGCAAGCUCGUUCUCGAAAAUUCAAGAUGUUGUGUCCUAACUUACUGGAUGUGACAUUUUAUUAUUUCGAGACGAGAAGUUCUUUAACAUUCAAGUGUUUCUAUAAAAAGAGGGAUCGUAUUUUAAAGUCUUUCGAGUUUUCAAAGUUUCGACACUAAGUCACUAAUUAAUCAACUAGGUAUCAAUUUUUGAGUGUCACGAGGGUGCUAAUCCUUCCUCGUACGUAACCAACUCCCGAACUCAUUUUCUAAUUUUCGUAGACCAAAAAAUUAUCGCUUUAAUAAAUCUUAACUUUUAUUAAAAUGAUUAAUUUAAAGUGACUUGAUCACACCUCAUAAAAAAGAAUUGGUGGCGACUCUCAUUUUUUCGUUUUUAUUUCUAAAAUAAAGUUAACACGUUUUCCAAAAAUUGGUUUCGACAAGUUAUAAAAUCUAUUUUGUUAUGGAAUUGUUAGUAUGCUUUGAUUACGUGGUAUAUUAGACUUCAGUAGAACACCAUUCAAACUUUGCAAGUUCAAAGUACUAGUUAAAUUUUUUUGUGUGCAGGUAAUUGCUGGAUCGUGAGUUUGAGACAUCAAAGUAGCAUUGACCCAAAGUCCUCGCAUUUUCGCUGAGUUAGUAAAGACCCUUGUAUUAUUAUAGCGUUUGGCAUAUACUUAAAAUUUGAUAAUUUGUUCAAUUCGGUUACUUUGGUUUUAUUUUAGAAUUUGUCGAUUUUUGGCUAUUUGUGUGUUUAAAUUUAUGUUUUAAUGUGUAAUGAUUGAACAACUGAUCGAAUAGGUCAGUUUGAUAAUCACUAUGACGCUCCAAAUUUGAUCGAAUUUUAUGUUUUUUUUCCGAUGAGAGAAUUUUUAAUCACGUUUAAAUAUCAAUGUCAUCGAGAGAAAUGGA